UGGGGAAUUUUGGACAAUGGGCGAAAGCCUGAUCCAGCCAUGCCGCGUGAGUGAAGAAGGCCUUCGGGUUGUAAAGCUCUUUCAGGUGGAAAGAAAACGCAUAGGUUAAUACCUUGUGCGGAUGACGGUACCAUCAGAAGAAGCACCGGCUAACUUCGUGCCAGCAGCCGCGGUAAUACGAAGGGUGCAAGCGUUACUCGGAAUUACUGGGCGUAAAGCGUGCGUAGGUGGUCGUUUAAGUCUGUUGUGAAAGCCCUGGGCUCAACCUGGGAACUGCAGUGGAAACUGGACGACUAGAGUGUGGUAGAGGGUAGCGGAAUUCCGCGUGUAGCAGUGAAAUGCGGAGAUAUGCGGAGGAACACCGAUGGCGAAGGCAAUCCCCUGGGCCUGCACUGACGCUCAUGCACGAAAGCGUGGGGAGCAAACA
RNAcentral lists this ribosomal RNA (427 nucleotides) under uncultured bacterium. Its description in RNAcentral is "bacterial SSU rRNA". It matches the Rfam family "Bacterial small subunit ribosomal RNA", at positions 355 to 774 of the family's 1533-position model. The record is from RNAcentral.